ACAAUGGUAGGAGAGCGUUCUAAGGGCGUUGAAGCAUGAUCGUAAGGACAUGUGGAGCGCUUAGAAGUGAGAAUGCCGGUGUGAGUAGCGAAAGACGGGUGAGAAUCCCGUCCACCGAUUGACUAAGGUUUCCAGAGGAAGGCUCGUCCGCUCUGGGUUAGUCGGGUCCUAAGCUGAGGCCGACAGGCGUAGGCGAUGGAUAACAGGUUGAUAUUCCUGUACCACCUAUAAUCGUUUUAAUCG
RNAcentral lists this ribosomal RNA (243 nucleotides) under Staphylococcus aureus. RNAcentral's name for it is "partial 23S ribosomal RNA". It matches the Rfam family "Bacterial large subunit ribosomal RNA", at positions 1222 to 1465 of the family's 2925-position model. The record is from RNAcentral. Lineage: Bacteria; Bacillati; Bacillota; Bacilli; Caryophanales; Staphylococcaceae.